This 478-nucleotide ribosomal RNA is filed under the name uncultured bacterium. RNAcentral describes it as "partial 16S ribosomal RNA". It matches the Rfam family "Bacterial small subunit ribosomal RNA", at positions 28 to 523 of the family's 1533-position model. The record is from RNAcentral.
GACGAACGCUGGCGGCGUGCUUAACACGUGCAAGUCGAACGGUAAGGCCCUUCGGGGUACACGAGUGGCGAACGGGUGAGUAACACGUGGGUGAUCUGCCCUGCACUUCGGGAUAAACCUGGGAAACUGGGUCUAAUACCGGAUAGGACCACUGCCUGCAUGGGUGGUGGUGGAAAGCUUUUGCGGUGUGGGAUGGACCCGCGGCCUAUCAGCUUGUUGGUGGGGUGAUGGCCUACCAAGGCGACGACGGGUAGCCGGCCUGAGAGGGUGACCGGCCACACUGGGACUGAGAUACGGCCCAGACUCCUACGGGAGGCAGCAGUGGGGAAUAUUGCACAAUGGGCGCAAGCCUGAUGCAGCGACGCCGCGUGAGGGAUGACGGCCUUCGGGUUGUAAACCUCUUUCAGCACCGACGAAGCGCAAGUGACGGUAGGUGCAGAAGAAGGACCGGCCAACUACGUGCCAGCCGCCGCAGUAA